ACUCCUACGGGAGGCAGCAGUGGGGGAAUAUUGCACAAUGGGGGGAAACCCUGAUGCAGCCAUGCCGCGUGUGUGAAGAAGGCCUUCGGGUUGUAAAGCACUUUCAGUAGGGAGGAAGGUAGUGUAGUUAACACCUGCAUUAUUUGACGUUACCUACAGAAGAAGCACCGGCUAACUCCGUGCCAGCAGCCGCGGUAAUACGGAGGGUGCGAGCGUUAAUCGGAAUUACUGGGCGUAAAGCGCAUGCAGGCGGCCUGUUAAGUCAGAUGUGAAAGCCCGGGGCUUAACCUCGGAAUUGCAUUUGAAACUGGCAGGCUAGAGUCUUGUAGAGGGGGGUAGAAUUUCAGGUGUAGCGGUGAAAUGCGUAGAGAUCUGAAGGAAUACCAGUGGCGAAGGCGGCCCCCUGGACAAAGACUGACGCUCAGAUG
Molecule: ribosomal RNA, 428 nt
Filed under: uncultured bacterium
Lineage: Bacteria
Description: bacterial SSU rRNA
Rfam family: Bacterial small subunit ribosomal RNA
Source: RNAcentral